RNAcentral lists this transfer RNA (172 nucleotides) under Cadophora sp. DSE1049. RNAcentral's name for it is "tRNA-Leu". It matches the Rfam family "tRNA". From Rfam's summary of the family: Transfer RNA (tRNA) molecules are approximately 80 nucleotides in length. Their secondary structure includes four short double-helical elements and three loops (D, anti-codon, and T loops). The record is from RNAcentral. Lineage: Eukaryota; Fungi; Ascomycota; Leotiomycetes; Helotiales; Ploettnerulaceae.
GGUCUCGUGGCCUAAUGGUAAGGGUACGUUCAAACCCCCAAUCUUGAAUUUUUCAAAUUUGACAAAAUUUGACAAAAUCCAAAUAAAAUUGCGCUUAAACUAACGCUAAUUUAGCGCCAGUUUCCGGAUUGGGAAUUACUGGAGAUUGCGAGUUCGAGUCUCGUCGGGAUCG